UGGAACGUGCGUGGUCUAAAUGGGCCAGCUAGGAGGAAGACUUUACGUGAAUUUGUAGAUUCUUUACAUGUGACGAUCUGUUGUAUCCUAGAGACCAAACUUGAGAGGGUGGACCAGUACAUGAUUCUACAAUGUAUGGGGCCUACAUAUGAUGGCUACACCUAUUUACCGGCGUCUGAUACUAGGGGAGGGAUUUUUAUCGCUUGGGACUCCACGAGGGUGCAAUUGACAAACCAUGUCAAUGAUACCUAUUCCAUCACUAGCUACGUUUCCCCCGUGGGAGGCACACCAAGGUGGCUGCCGGUGGUUUACGGUCCUCAGGAGGACAGCCAGAAAAUCGGGUUUCUACAAGAGUUGAUGGAGCGUAGAUUGUUGUGCCCAGGGAAAUAG
This 390-nucleotide ribosomal RNA is filed under the name Triticum aestivum (bread wheat). RNAcentral's name for it is "partial small subunit ribosomal RNA". Lineage: Eukaryota; Viridiplantae; Streptophyta; Magnoliopsida; Poales; Poaceae. The record is from RNAcentral.